AUGGCACUUUCAGGUACGGGAGCAGAUGGACUGUGCACAAGCAAGGUUGCAACUUUCUCACUUGCAGGAAGCAAAAGGAUGGGGGAAAACGUGAGAAAUAGGUAUAAGAGUUCUGCCAAAAUAGCUCUCAUGACUGCUGAGCGCAAAGGAGCUCCAGGAGUCAACGAGCAACUUGGGGUACAUCUAAGACACGACGCUUUGCUCGUCCAGUCUUCUUCUCUGCAGCACGCCUCCUCCUCCUGUCUCAUCGCCGUCUGCGCGGAUUCUCUCCCGACACCAAUCAGAAGUAAUCAGAUCAGAAGCAGCGUUGGAAUCGAAAACAGACUCGACGGAGGAAUUUUUCACGUGCAGCCUCAAAUGAAUCGUAUACAGCUCCUGGUACCUGAGGCUGUUUUCGGUUAA
This 402-nucleotide long non-coding RNA is filed under the name Anser brachyrhynchus (Pink-footed goose). RNAcentral describes it as "lncRNA (ENSABRG00000020885.1)". Lineage: Eukaryota; Metazoa; Chordata; Aves; Anseriformes; Anatidae. The record is from RNAcentral.